This 253-nucleotide ribosomal RNA is filed under the name uncultured bacterium. RNAcentral describes it as "partial 16S ribosomal RNA". It matches the Rfam family "Bacterial small subunit ribosomal RNA", at positions 524 to 776 of the family's 1533-position model. The record is from RNAcentral.
UACGUAGGGGGCAAGCGUUGUCCGGAAUUAUUGGGCGUAAAGAGCGUGUAGGCGGUCCGGUAAGUCAGCUGUGAAAGUCAAGGGCUCAACCCUUGAAUGCCGGUUGAUACUGUCGGGCUAGAGUCCGGAAGAGGCGAGUGGAAUUCCCGGUGUAGAGGUGAAAUUCGUAGAUAUUAGGAAGAACACCAGUGGCGAAGGCGGCUCACUGGCUCGGUACUGACGCUGAGGCGCGAAAGCGUGGGGAGCAAACAGG